UUUCUAUGGAUAUUUGCUAGAUCUAGAGAUAUGGUCUGCAUUUCGAAAGAUUAAAAUGAGAUUCGUGUUCAAAUCCCUCUCCAAGUUCUCUCACAUCUCCAUCCUGAUGUUGCUCUUGUUAGAAGGCUACCUUUUGAAUGAUAGAGACAGAGCGAUGUCUAUGGGUUUGGAGUUUUGCUGCUGGAGCUCUUAACUGGACUGAAACCUUUUGACAGUACCUGCUUGCUCAAUUUAUUACUCGAAAAACUCCCUUUCAAAUUCAGGUUAUUGAAACCAACCAAGAUUCCAAAACCCGCCCUUCUUCAACCUUAGUUGCAGGAUCCUUGUAAUAGGUGCCACUCCCGCUUUGAAUCAUGCUUCAGACUCGUGUUCAUGUCCCACUUCCUAGACAUUUACACUUGAUAACAUUUGCGGACAGACGCUUCCCUGCUCCUACAUCUGAAUCUGUUGUCUCGCUUGCCUCACGCUUCGUGCAACCAUAUUUCCGCCACGCCACCAGUCUAUGAAAAGAUACUCUUGCUUGGUCUUGCUUAAUUAUAUUCAGAAAGUUCAAAAAAUUGUACUGGAUGCAUUUAUAGAAAUCAUAAUCGCAAAGUACAAAUGGUUGAAGUUGCCAUCAUUGAAAGUCUAACCGGUCUUUGAUAUGGAGGAAUGUUAUAAACGUUGAUGGUCAAUGUUAUGUUGAAUGUAAUUUGAGAAUGUGUUCCCAAACUUAUAUUUGAUUCCUUUCCUUG
This is a long non-coding RNA of Magnolia sinica, 734 nucleotides long. RefSeq lists it as uncharacterized. The transcript has 3 exons. Lineage: Eukaryota; Viridiplantae; Streptophyta; Magnoliopsida; Magnoliales; Magnoliaceae. The record is from RefSeq and is a predicted model, not a curated record.